This 459-nucleotide ribosomal RNA is filed under the name uncultured bacterium. Its description in RNAcentral is "partial 16S ribosomal RNA". It matches the Rfam family "Bacterial small subunit ribosomal RNA", at positions 338 to 795 of the family's 1533-position model. The record is from RNAcentral.
CCUACGGGUGGCAGCAGUGAGGAAUAUUGGUCAAUGGACGAGAGUCUGAACCAGCCAAGUAGCGUGAAGGAUGACUGCCCUAUGGGUUGUAAACUUCUUUUAUAUGGGAAUAAAAUGUUCCACGUGUGGGAUUUUGUAUGUACCAUAUGAAUAAGGAUCGGCUAACUCCGUGCCAGCAGCCGCGGUAAUACGGAGGAUGCGAGCGUUAUCCGGAUUUAUUGGGUUUAAAGGGUGCGCAGGCGGGAGAUCAAGUCAGCGGUAAAAUGUCGGGGCUCAACCCCGGCCGGCCGUUGAAACUGGUUUUCUAGAGUUGGAGAGAAGUAUGCGGAAUUCGUGGUGUAGCGGUGAAAUGCAUAGAUAUCACGAAGAACUCCGAUUGCGAAGGCAGCAUACCGGCUCCAUACUGACGCUGAGGCACGAAAGCGUGGGGAUCGAACAGGAUUAGAUACCCCUGUAGUC